CGCGGGUUCACAACAGCAGUAGGGCCGGAUCCUCUAGGAACCCACGUUUGGCGAGCAUGUUGGUUGGGGAAUCUACUAGUCCUAUCCCUUUGAUCAUUUCGGGAUGGAAAGCUCAUACUCUGACAAGAAAGAUGACUACAACUCGUAUCCUCCACCGCUGAUGAGCAAGAAACUUUGAUCCAAGUAAUACGCAGCUCUGUCUCUGCAAGUUUUUCUCUUUUAUUCCUGAUUUACUACUCAAGUUUCCGAUUUGUUUGGAGAUAUAUAAG
RNAcentral lists this unclassified non-coding RNA (269 nucleotides) under Hevea brasiliensis (rubber tree). Lineage: Eukaryota; Viridiplantae; Streptophyta; Magnoliopsida; Malpighiales; Euphorbiaceae. The record is from RNAcentral.